AGUAUGUGGUAUAAAAAGAGACGAAUUAGAGCAAAUAUUUAUAUCAGUUGAUGAGCUACAAGCGUUAAUACACGAUGAGGUUCAUCCAGUGCGCGUUCCUGUUCAUUCUCGCGAUGUUAGUGGUUGAUAUCACGGCAACUCCACAACUACCACCGGCCUUACUUCCAAUUGAGCAGACGGAAUGCCAGACUAACGCCGACUGCCCACCUAUGGAAACCUGUGUCCCGGAUCCGUACACCAACAAGAAGAGAUGUGUGCCCGUUAUAAUUUAAAGUACCACGAAAAAACUACAAAGGUGUUUGGGGCUCGAGGAAAGUUAUCAGCAUCUUUUUAAACGAAUUAAAAUUUUUUGUUAGAUAUUAAGCUUAUUCGGUUUGAACUAUAAUCAUCCGUUACAACCUUUUUAUCAUCCCACUGCUGGGCUGCGGUCUCCUCUCACACGGAGAAGGAUUGAGCAUUAAUCACCACGCUUGCUCAAUGCGGUUUGGUGAUUUCAGACUUUAUAGUCCAGGUUUCCUCAAGAUGUUUUCCUUCACCUUUUUAUCAGCCAUUGGUGUUUUAAAUUACUUAAAAAGUACAUACAAACUUAGAAAAGUUGCAUUGGUACUUGCCUGAACCCACACCCUCAUACUCGAGAGGUUGGUUCUUUACUAGGCCACCACGACUUCAACUAUCAUCAUAUAUUUACAUAAAUAGACACCUUCAAAUAACUUAUUGAGGAUAUUUUAAAUUAAACCAAUUUCUGUCUCUGAAAUUGCAAA
Helicoverpa armigera (cotton bollworm) is the source of this 761-nucleotide long non-coding RNA. RefSeq lists it as uncharacterized. The transcript has 2 exons. NCBI's taxonomy places the organism in Eukaryota, Metazoa, Arthropoda, Insecta, Lepidoptera, Noctuidae. The record is from RefSeq and is a predicted model, not a curated record.